GGAAUAUUGGACAAUGGGCGACAGCCUGAUCCAGCAAUGCCGCGUGAGUGAUGAAGGCCUUAGGGUUGUAAAGCUCUUUUACCAGGGAUGAUAAUGACAGUACCUGGAGAAUAAGCUCCGGCUAACUCCGUGCCAGCAGCCGCGGUAAUACGGAGGGAGCUAGCGUUGUGCGGACUUACUGGGCGUAAAGCGCACGUAGGCGGCGAUCCAAGUCAGGGGUGAAAUCCCUGGGCGCAACCCCGGAACUGCCCUUGAAACUAGGUUGCUAGAAUACUGGAGAGGUGAGUGGAAUUCCGAGUGUAGAGGUGAAAUUCGUAGAUAUUCGGAAGAACACCAGUGGCGAAGGCGACUCACUGGACAGUUAUUGACGCUGAGGUGCGAAAGCGUGGGGAGCAAAC
This 398-nucleotide ribosomal RNA is filed under the name uncultured bacterium. RNAcentral's name for it is "bacterial SSU rRNA". It matches the Rfam family "Bacterial small subunit ribosomal RNA", at positions 358 to 773 of the family's 1533-position model. The record is from RNAcentral.